CAUCCGCUCUUUUAAUGUGUUUAAUCGAGAUACUUCAUUGUGAGAGUUUUGAAUGCAAAUUCAAAACUCUCACUAACGUACUCCAAAAGGCUUGGACAGGAAAGAGUCCAAAAGGCUUGGACAGGAAAGAGUCCAAAAGGCUUGGACAGAUUUGUGUCCAAAAGGCUUGGAUAGAUUUGUGUCCAAAAGGCUUGGACAGAGAGGGUCCAAAAGGCUUGGACAGGAAAGAGUCCAAAAGGCUUGGACAGGAAAGAGUCCAAAAGGCUUGGACAGAGAGGGUCCAAAGUACUUAAGGAGGUUUGAAUCUUAAACUGUAAGUUUAAGAUUUAUGGAUAAUCGAACGAAGUGAGAUUAGACAUAUUAAGAGAGCGGAUG
RNAcentral lists this ribosomal RNA (375 nucleotides) under Taylorella asinigenitalis. RNAcentral describes it as "partial 23S rRNA". The record is from RNAcentral. Lineage: Bacteria; Pseudomonadati; Pseudomonadota; Betaproteobacteria; Burkholderiales; Alcaligenaceae.